This 458-nucleotide ribosomal RNA is filed under the name uncultured bacterium. RNAcentral describes it as "partial 16S ribosomal RNA". It matches the Rfam family "Bacterial small subunit ribosomal RNA", at positions 338 to 795 of the family's 1533-position model. The record is from RNAcentral.
CCUACGGGUUGCAGCAGUGAGGAAUAUUGGUCAAUGGCCGGAAGGCUGAACCAGCCAUGUCGCGUGAAGGUCAGUGCCCCAUGGGCGUUAAACUUCUUUUGUGCGGGAGCAAUAAUGGUCACGUGUGGCCAGACGAAAGUAACGUACGAAUAAGGAUCGGCUAACCACGUGCCAGCAGCCGCGGUAAGACGGGGGAUGCAAGCGUUAUCCGGAUUUAUUGGGUUUAAAGGGUGCGUAGGCGGAAUGGCAAGUCAGCGGUAAAAUGGCGGGGCUCAAACUCGCUCCGCCGUUGAAACUGGCGUUCUUGAGUGAGCGAGAAGUAUGCGGAAUGCGUGGUGUAGCGGUGAAAUGCAUAGAUAUCACGCAGAACUCCGAUUGCGAAGGCAGCAUACCGGCGCCCAACUGACGCUGAAGCACGAAAGCGUGGGUAUCGAACAGGAUUAGAUACCCCAGUAGUC